Molecule: ribosomal RNA, 253 nt
Filed under: uncultured bacterium
Lineage: Bacteria
Description: partial 16S ribosomal RNA
Rfam family: Bacterial small subunit ribosomal RNA
Source: RNAcentral
AACGUAGGUGGCAAGCGUUAUCCGGAUUUACUGGGCGUAAAGCGUGUGCAGGCGGGGGGACAAGUGGGGUAUGAAAUUUCCCAGCUUAACUGGGAAGGGUUAUGCCAGACUGUACUUCUGGAGUGCGAGAGAGGGGCGUGGAAUUCCGGGUGUAGUGGUGAAAUGCGUAGAGAUCCGGAGGAACACCAGAGGCGAAGGCGGCCUACUGGGCUGCACCUGACGCUGAGCCGCGAAAGCCAGGGGAGCGAACGGG